Molecule: ribosomal RNA, 2484 nt
Filed under: Paenibacillus darwinianus
Lineage: Bacteria; Bacillati; Bacillota; Bacilli; Caryophanales; Paenibacillaceae
Description: bacterial LSU rRNA
Rfam family: Bacterial large subunit ribosomal RNA
Source: RNAcentral
GGAAUCCGGCAGGACCAUCUGCCAAGGCUAAAUACUCCCUGGCGACCGAUAGCGAAGCAGUACCGUGAGGGAAAGGUGAAAAGCACCGCGGGAGCGGAGUGAAACAGAACCUGAAACCGUGCGCUUACAAGAAGUCAGAGCCCGAUCUAGGGGUGAUGGCGUGCCUUUUGUAGAAUGAACCGGCGAGUUACGUUCACGUGCAAGGUUAAGGCGGGAAGCCGGAGCCGAAGCGAAAGCGAGUCUGAAUAGGGCGCUUGAGUACGUGGGCGUAGACCCGAAACCGUGUGAUCUACCCCUGUCCAGGGUGAAGGUGCGGUAACACGCACUGGAGGCCCGAACCCACGCACGUUGAAAAGUGCGGGGAUGAGGUGGGGGUAGCGGAGAAAUUCCAAUCGAACUCGGAAAUAGCUGGUUCUCCCCGAAAUAGCUUUAGGGCUAGCCUCGGUGUAAGAGUCAUGGAGGUAGAGCACGGAUUGGGUGCGGGGCCCGCCAAGGGUUACCAAGUCCAGUCAAACUCCGAAUGCCAUUGACUUAUAACCGGGAGUCAGACAGUGAGUGCUAAGAUCCAUUGUCAAGAGGGAAACAGCCCAGACCAUCAGCUAAGGUCCCCAAGUGUGUGUUAAGUGGGAAAGGAUGUGGAGUUGCACAGACAACCAGGAUGUUGGCUUAGAAGCAGCCACCAUUUAAAGAGUGCGUAAUAGCUCACUGGUCGAGUGACUCUGCGCCGAAAAUGUAACGGGGCUAAACACGCCACCGAAGCUAUGGCUACGCAGCAAUGCGUGGGGUAGGGGAGCGUCGAAUACGCAUCGAAGGUAUACCGUAAGGAGUGCUGGAGUGUAUUCGAGUGAGAAUGCCGGUAUAAGUAACGAAAAGACAAGUGAGAAUCUUGUCCGCCGAAAGCCUAAGGGUUCCUGAGGAAGGCUCGUCCGCUCAGGGUAAGUCGGGACCUAAGGCGAGGCCGAAAGGCGUAGUCGAAGGACAACAGGUUGAUAUUCCUGUACCACCGCAAGCCGUUACGAGCGAUGGGGUGACGCAGCAGGGAAGUGACGCGGACUGAUGGAAUAGUCCGUCCAAGCAGUGAGGCCGGUUGGCAGGCAAAUCCGCCAAUCAUGAAGGCUGGGCUGUGAUGGGGAGGGAAAAUAAGAGUACCGAAGGUCAUGCACUCACACUGCCGAGAAAAGCCUCUAGCCAGGCGAAGGUGCCCGUACCGCAAACCGACACAGGUAGGCGAGCAGAGCAUGCUAAGGCGCGCGGAAGAACUCUCGUUAAGGAACUCGGCAAAAUGACCCCGUAACUUCGGGAGAAGGGGUGCCUCGGUAGGGUGAAUAGCCCGAGGGGGCCGCAGUGAAAAGGCCCAAGCGACUGUUUAGCAAAAACACAGGUCUGUGCGAAGCCGCAAGGCGAAGUAUACGGGCUGACGCCUGCCCGGUGCUGGAAGGUUAAGGGGAGCGGUUAGGGUCAAACCGAAGCUGUGAACUGAAGCCCCAGUAAACGGCGGCCGUAACUAUAACGGUCCUAAGGUAGCGAAAUUCCUUGUCAGGUAAAUUCUGACCCGCACGAAUGGCGUAACGACUUGGGCGCUGUCUCAACGAGAGAUCCGGUGAAAUUUUAAUACCUGUGAAGAUGCAGGUUACCCGCGACAAGACGGAAAGACCCCAUGGAGCUUUACUGCAGCUUGAUAUUGGACUUUGGUACGAUCUGUACAGGAUAGGUGGGAGCCUGGGAAGUGGGAGCGCAAGCUUCGAUGGAGGCGCCGUUGGGAUACCACCCUGAUCGUAUCGGAGUUCUAACCUGCUACCGUGAAACCGGUAGAGGGACCGUGUCAGGCGGGCAGUUUGACUGGGGCGGUCGCCUCCUAAAGUGUAACGGAGGCGCCCCAAGGUUCCCUCAGAAUGGUUGGAAAUCAUUCGAAGAGUGCAAAGGCAUAAGGGAGCUUGACUGCGAGACCAACAAGUCGAGCAGGGACGAAAGUCGGGCUUAGUGAUCCGGUGGUACCGCAUGGAAGGGCCAUCGCUCAACGGAUAAAAGCUACCCUGGGGAUAACAGGCUUAUCUCCCCCAAGAGUCCACAUCGACGGGGAGGUUUGGCACCUCGAUGUCGGCUCAUCGCAUCCUGGGGCUGAAGUAGGUCCCAAGGGUUGGGCUGUUCGCCCAUUAAAGCGGUACGCGAGCUGGGUUCAGAACGUCGUGAGACAGUUCGGUCCCUAUCUGUCGCGGGCGCAGGAAAUUUGAGAGGAGCUGUCCUUAGUACGAGAGGACCGGGAUGGACGUACCGCUGGUGUACCAGUUGUUCCGCCAGGAGCACCGCUGGGUAGCCAAGUACGGACGGGAUAAGCGCUGAAAGCAUCUAAGCGUGAAGCCCCCCUCAAGAUGAGAUUUCCCAAUCCGUAAGACCCCUGGUAGACGACCAGGUUGAUAGGUUCGGGGUGGAAGCGCAGCAAUGCGUGCAGCUGACGAAUACUAAUCGGUCGAGGGCUUAUCCUAA